UACAGAGGUCUCAAGCGUUGUUCGGAUUCAUUGGGCGUAAAGGGUGUGUAGGUGGCGCGCUAAGUCGGGUGUGAAAUUUCGGAGCUUAACUCCGAAACUGCAUUCGAUACUGGCGUGCUUGAGGACUGGAGAGGAGACUGGAAUUCCAGGUGUAGCGGUGAAAUGCGUAGAUAUCUGGAGGAACACCGGUGGCGAAGGCGGCGUUCUGGACUGCAACUGACACUGAGGAACGAAAGCCAGGGGAGCAAACGGG
Molecule: ribosomal RNA, 253 nt
Filed under: uncultured bacterium
Lineage: Bacteria
Description: partial 16S ribosomal RNA
Rfam family: Bacterial small subunit ribosomal RNA
Source: RNAcentral